CGGGGGGAGCAAGCGUUGUUCGGAUUUACUGGGCGUAAAGGGCGCGUAGGCGGCCUCCGCAAGUCAGUAGUGAAAUCUCCGAGCUUAACUCGGAAAGGUCAACUGAUACUGCGGGGCUAGAGUGCGGAAGGGGCAACUGGAAUUCUUGGGGUAGCGGUGAAAUGCGUAGAUAUCAAGAGGAACACCUGCGGCGAAGGCGGGUUGCUGGGCCGACACUGACGCUGAGGCGCGAAAGCUAGGGGGAGCGAACGGGAUUAGAUACCCCGGUAGUCCUAGCCUUAAACGAUGAAUGCUUGGUGUCUGGGGUUAUAUAGUCCCCGGGUGCCGUCGCUAACGCUUUAAGCAUUCCGCCUGGGGAGUACGGUCGCAAGACUG
Molecule: ribosomal RNA, 375 nt
Filed under: uncultured organism
Description: bacterial SSU rRNA
Rfam family: Bacterial small subunit ribosomal RNA
Source: RNAcentral